GGCAGGCCUAACACAUGCAAGUCGAGCGGAAACGAGUUAUCUGAACCUUCGGGGAACGAUAACGGCGUCGAGCGGCGGACGGGUGAGUAAUGCCUGGGAAAUUGCCCUGAUGUGGGGGAUAACCAUUGGAAACGAUGGCUAAUACCGCAUAAUAGCUUCGGCUCAAAGAGGGGGACCUUCGGGCCUCUCGCGUCAGGAUAUGCCCAGGUGGGAUUAGCUAGUUGGUGAGGUAAGGGCUCACCAAGGCGACGAUCCCUAGCUGGUCUGAGAGGAUGAUCAGCCACACUGGAACUGAGACACGGUCCAGACUCCUACGGGAGGCAGCAGUGGGGAAUAUUGCACAAUGGGCGCAAGCCUGAUGCAGCCAUGCCGCGUGUAUGAAGAAGGCCUUCGGGUUGUAAAGUACUUUCAGCAGUGAGGAAGGUGGUGUGCUUAAUACGCACAUCAUUUGACGUUAGCUGCAGAAGAAGCACCGGCUAACUCCGUGCCAGCAGCCGCGGUAAUACGGAGGGUGCGAGCGUUAAUCGGAAUUACUGGGCGUAAAGCGCAUGCAGGUGGUUUGUUAAGUCAGAUGUGAAAGCCCGGGGCUCAACCUCGGAAUUGCAUUUGAAACUGACAGACUAGAGUACUGUAGAGGGGGGUAGAAUUUCAGGUGUAGCGGUGAAAUGCGUAGAGAUCUGAAGGAAUACCGGUGGCGAAGGCGGCCCCCUGGACAGAUACUGACACUCAGAUGCGAAAGCGUGGGGAGCAAACAGGAUUAGAUACCCUGGUAGUCCACGCCGUAAACGAUGUCUACUUGGAGGUUGUGGCCUUGAGCCGUGGCUUUCGGAGCUAACGCGUUAAGUAGACCGCCUGGGGAGUACGGUCGCAAGAUUAAAACUCAAAUGAAUUGACGGGGGCCCGCACAAGCGGUGGAGCAUGUGGUUUAAUUCGAUGCAACGCGAAGAACCUUACCUACUCUUGACAUCCAUAGAACUUUCCAGAGAUGGAUUGGUGCCUUCGGGAACUAUGAGACAGGUGCUGCAUGGCUGUCGUCAGCUCGUGUUGUGAAAUGUUGGGUUAAGUCCCGCAACGAGCGCAACCCUUAUCCUUGUUUGCCAGCACUUCGGGUGGGAACUCCAGGGAGACUGCCGGUGAUAAACCGGAGGAAGGUGGGGACGACGUCAAGUCAUCAUGGCCCUUACGAGUAGGGCUACACACGUGCUACAAUGGCGCAUACAGAGGGCGGCCAACUUGCGAAAGUGAGCGAAUCCCAAAAAGUGCGUCGUAGUCCGGAUUGGAGUCUGCAACUCGACUCCAUGAAGUCGGAAUCGCUAGUAAUCGUGGAUCAGAAUGCCACGGUGAAUACGUUCCCGGGCCUUGUA
RNAcentral lists this ribosomal RNA (1364 nucleotides) under Vibrio sp. S4076. RNAcentral describes it as "bacterial SSU rRNA". It matches the Rfam family "Bacterial small subunit ribosomal RNA", at positions 41 to 1385 of the family's 1533-position model. The record is from RNAcentral. Lineage: Bacteria; Pseudomonadati; Pseudomonadota; Gammaproteobacteria; Vibrionales; Vibrionaceae.